AUGCAAGUCGAACGGCAGCACAGGAGAGCUUGCUCUCUGGGUGGCGAGUGGCGGACGGGUGAGGAAUACAUCGGAAUCUACUUUUUCGUGGGGGAUAACGUAGGGAAACUUACGCUAAUACCGCAUACGACCUACGGGUGAAAGCAGGGGAUCUUCGGACCUUGCGCGAUUGAAUGAGCCGAUGUCGGAUUAGCUAGUUGGCGGGGUAAAGGCCCACCAAGGCGACGAUCCGUAGCUGGUCUGAGAGGAUGAUCAGCCACACUGGAACUGAGACACGGUCCAGACUCCUACGGGAGGCAGCAGUGGGGAAUAUUGGACAAUGGGCGCAAGCCUGAUCCAGCCAUACCGCGUGGGUGAAGAAGGCCUUCGGGUUGUAAAGCCCUUUUGUUGGGAAAGAAAUCCAGCUGGUUAAUACCCGGUUGGGAUGACGGUACCCAAAGAAUAAGCACCGGCUAACUUCGUGCCAGCAGCCGCGGUAAUACGAAGGGUGCAAGCGUUACUCGGAAUUACUGGGCGUAAAGCGUGCGUAGGUGGUCGUCUAAGUCCGUUGUGAAAGCCCUGGGCUCAACCUGGGAACUGCAGUGGAUACUGGACGACUAGAGUGUGGUAGAGGGUAGCGGAAUUCCUGGUGUAGCAGUGAAAUGCGUAGAGAUCAGGAGGAACAUCCAUGGCGAAGGCAGCUACCUGGACCAACACUGACACUGAGGCACGAAAGCGUGGGGAGCAAACAGAAUUAGAUACCCUGGUAGUCCACGCCCUAAACGAUGCGAACUGGAUGUUGGGUGCAAUUUGGCACGCAGUAUCGAAGCUAACG
RNAcentral lists this ribosomal RNA (814 nucleotides) under uncultured Stenotrophomonas sp. RNAcentral's name for it is "bacterial SSU rRNA". It matches the Rfam family "Bacterial small subunit ribosomal RNA", at positions 55 to 857 of the family's 1533-position model. The record is from RNAcentral. Lineage: Bacteria; Pseudomonadati; Pseudomonadota; Gammaproteobacteria; Lysobacterales; Lysobacteraceae.